GUCCUUGUCGAUUAGUGGUUAAAUCACCUCGUUGUGGUGACCGCAAUUCCGAGGAGCCGCAGGUUCAAUUCCUGCCAGGGACA
This is a transfer RNA of Coniophora puteana RWD-64-598 SS2, 83 nucleotides long. It matches the Rfam family "tRNA". Rfam says of the family: Transfer RNA (tRNA) molecules are approximately 80 nucleotides in length. Their secondary structure includes four short double-helical elements and three loops (D, anti-codon, and T loops). Lineage: Eukaryota; Fungi; Basidiomycota; Agaricomycetes; Boletales; Coniophoraceae. The record is from Rfam.